Molecule: ribosomal RNA, 460 nt
Filed under: uncultured bacterium
Lineage: Bacteria
Description: partial 16S ribosomal RNA
Rfam family: Bacterial small subunit ribosomal RNA
Source: RNAcentral
CCUACGGGAGGCAGCAGUGAGGAAUAUUGGUCAAUGGGCGAGAGCCUGAACCAGCCAAGUCGCGUGAAGGAUGACGGCCCUACGGGUUGUAAACUUCUUUUGUCAGGGAGCAAUUGAGUCCACGUGUGGGCUUAGCGAGAGUACCUGAAGAAAAAGCAUCGGCUAACUCCGUGCCAGCAGCCGCGGUAAUACGGAGGAUGCGAGCGUUAUCCGGAUUUAUUGGGUUUAAAGGGUGCGUAGGCGGAAUAUCAAGUCAGCGGUAAAAAUUCGGGGCUCAACCCCGUCGUGCCGUUGAAACUGAUGUUCUUGAGUGGGCGAGAAGUAUGCGGAAUGCGUGGUGUAGCGGUGAAAUGCAUAGAUAUCACGCAGAACUCCGAUUGCGAAGGCAGCUUUCUGGACUGAAACUGACGCUGAGGCUCGAAAGCGUGGGGAGCGAACAGGAUUAGAUACCCCUGUAGUC